RNAcentral lists this ribosomal RNA (259 nucleotides) under uncultured prokaryote. Its description in RNAcentral is "partial 16S ribosomal RNA". It matches the Rfam family "Bacterial small subunit ribosomal RNA", at positions 524 to 782 of the family's 1533-position model. The record is from RNAcentral.
UACGUAGGUGGCAAGCGUUGUUCGGAAUGACUGGGCGUAAAGGGCGUGUAGGUGGACUGAUCAGUCGGGUGUGAAAUAUCCAGGCUCAACCUGGAGGGUGCAUCCGAUACGGUCAGUCUUGAGUGCAGGAGAGGGCAGUGGAAUUCCCAGUGUAGCGGUGAAAUGCGUAGAUAUUGGGAGGAACACCAGUGGCGAAGGCGGCUUUCUGGACUGAUACUGACGCUGAGGAACGAAAGCGUGGGGAGCAAACAGGAUUAGA